CCUACGGGUGGCAGCAGUAGGGAAUAUUGCUCAAUGGGGGAAACCCUGAUGCAGCAACGCCGCGUGGAGGAAGAAGUAUUUCGGUUUGUAAACUCCUUUUAUCAGAGAAGAAUAUGACGGUAUCUAACGAAUAAGCCCCGGCUAACUCCGUGCCAGCAGCCGCGGUAAUACGUAGGGGGCAAGCGUUACCCGGAUUUACUGGGCGUAAAGGGUGCGUAGGCGGGGUAGUAAGUCAGAAGUGAAAUCCUGUGGCUCAACUACGGAACUGCAUUUGAAACUGUUGCUCUGGAGUGCAGGAGAGGUAAGUGGAAUUCCUGGUGUAGCGGUGAAAUGCGUAGAGAUCAGGAGGAACACUCGUGGCGAAGGCGACUUACUGGAACGUAACUGACGCUGAGGCACGAAAGCGUGGGGAGCAAACAGGAUUAGAUACCCUUGUAGUC
This 440-nucleotide ribosomal RNA is filed under the name uncultured bacterium. RNAcentral's name for it is "partial 16S ribosomal RNA". It matches the Rfam family "Bacterial small subunit ribosomal RNA", at positions 338 to 795 of the family's 1533-position model. The record is from RNAcentral.